AAAAAAAUCUGCUUUUUUUAACCACUAAAUUGGCACCACUGAAUCUGAAGGUAUCCGACAGCUUUGGCUUCAUCUGAUGGUGUUGAAGCACGGCAGUCAUUCCUGGGCCUCCAUCAAACAGUUCCUUCCACCUCCAAGCUCCAGCCUCACACUGC
Molecule: long non-coding RNA, 155 nt
Organism: Labrus mixtus (cuckoo wrasse)
Lineage: Eukaryota; Metazoa; Chordata; Actinopteri; Labriformes; Labridae
Exons: 2
Source: RefSeq, a predicted model, not a curated record